CGUGCGUGUGGGGGAGGACGCAGCAGGAGGACUCGCUAGAGAGCUGCUCCUCAAAACUCCUAGUACUGUAGUUGAGCAAACGGCAUUGGGAGGAAACUGCUCACUCUAAACUUGAAGUUAUCGGGUGCCACACGCAGAGCUUAUAAAAACAAAAACAAAAACAAAAACCCUUGAAAUUAGUGAGUCGACUCUUAGAUGUAGGAGUUGUGUUAGAUCUUGUGGAGCAUCUUAAGGACAAAAUCACGCGGGAGGUUAAAUGCCUUUCGUAUGGUGGGCAUGGUAUAAUAGAGAAUUGAGCUUCGAGGUCUUUCCUACGCCAUGCCCUGUUGUGAUUCUCUGGGAUCACAACUGGUGGGGAUGAUAUCUCCUUAAAAAGGACUCUAGAAGAAGAGUAAAACUGGCAUUGAUCUAAAUUAAAAGAAACCUCGACAAUUCUCAUUCUCUAAUUCAGUUUGAGUAUUGUCCUUUUUAUUUGAUAGGGCUGUGUGAAAACCUAGCUAGGGUUUAAAGGUAAGAGGCUGUCGAGGUUAAGCGAAGGAGAUGGGGGCGUGAGGGGCGUGCAAAGGCCUGGCAUACUUUCCAUUCCAUCCACAGGAUGCUUCCUGUGUAGGCGUGGCUAAAAGAGGGAGCCUAAUCUGGAGUCCCUUUCAGAUUGUGUGUGGAUAGACUGACAGAUGGGUUCCUGUCAGAGGAUGGAUUAAUUGGUUGAUCAGAAACACCAGAUAAAACAAACCAUUGAAAGCUUUCAAACUGUUGAAAGGCAGUUUAAAAAAGUUCUUUUAAUAAAAAAACUGAGACGCUUGUUUUUACCCUCAGCUUAUAAAACCAUGUUCUGUUCUACUGGGAUUCCCCGGGAAAGUUUAUAGAUAUUUAAUCAGUAUUUUUCAUUAUUUUAAAUGGAUUAGGGCCAUGAUUCCAUGUCCUCCCCUCCCAAUAAAUGCCUUCCCCACCGUACGGGUACACUCCUUUUUGAUUCAGACCUUCAAACAUAGUAGGUGUAUAAUGUGAAUUACAGAAUGAAUUGGAUUAAGUGGAAACACCUGUAUUAAGUGUUACUCCAUCACAGGAAAACAGUUUGUAAAUUGACUUAAUUUCAAUCCACUAAGAUUGGCUAGCUGUUAAGACGUGAUUAACGCUUGCUAAUUUCAUUUACUUUAGUGAUACAGUGUUAUCUUAAAUUCAUGUAGUAGAGAUAUUAAGGUAAUCAUCAAAUUGGAUUAAAAAGUUUACUCUUAGAAGGGAAAUAGAGGCUUUACUACCUAGUUUUCUCCGCUUUCCAAAAGUAGAAACCUUAUUCAAAUAGUUCAUCUCUAAGCGGACUAUAAUCUAAAAAUAAUUCUGUACUUGAACUUUUCUUUUCUCUCUCUCUUUUUUUUUUUUUUUUUUUGAUAGUAAAGGACUGAGCACAUAGCUAAAGCCUUAAUUAUUUGGGAGGUGAGGGGGAAGGGAGGUUUGACCGGAACAAGUAAAACCUGUAUCCCACUGCUUUUCCGGUGAAUGUGGGUAAAUCCCCACCCACAUGAUAUCCUAACUUGGCCUACUCUUACUCAGAAUUUCUGAUGACAUCCAAGCGGGUGGGGGAGGAGUAAGGAUGGUUUUCGUUGUAGUUUUCAAAUAUCUGACCUGUAGCUUCUUACUAGUAAUUGACUUUUUUUAAAAAUUAUAAUAGGAAAAUUUUUCUCAUGCCCUAUUUUAGUGGGUAACAAAUCUUUCACGGAUUAAUAUAUUAUUGUAGUGAGUUAAUGGUUGUUUGUAUUUUUCCCCUUUUGAGCUUUUCAACUGUGGAAGGAGGAAAUGAUCAAGUACAAAGUAAUAUGGUAAUCUAGCAGUGUCUUUUCAUUGAUGUCUCACAGGCAUAGUACACAUUACGCCUGCCUGAAUCAGAUGGUCAAGUUAUGAUGCUGGUUAGGAUAAUUUAUUUUGAGGAGGCUGAUGAAAGGUGCUUUUUGGGAAGGUUGCCAUUUUAUACAUAUUUUCUGUAUCUUUAUCUGGUUUAAAUAAUUAAAUAAUCAUUGAAUACCAGUUAAGUAUAACAUGCGGUAGAGGAUUUAAAAAUUAAACUGUAAAGUCUCUAGAGGAAUUUUCUGUUUCAGUGUGGCAAGUGAACCAGUAUAGUCAAAGCAAAGCAAUUAGAAAAUUAGUAAAUGCUAAUUUGGACGGUGUUGGUGAUAAGCUCAAAAAUUCAAAGAAAGGAGAAGUCUGAAGAGGUUUAAUGGAGGUGAUAGAACUUGAACAGCUCUUGAGGGUUGAGUAGAUUCUAGAUAAGUUGGAGGUGGUAUAGAUGGAGACAGCCCAACUAAAAAUGAUCUUCAUGAUGAUUCCAGGUGGACACAUUAGUUUUAUGAAGGAGGAACUGAGACCCCCAUUUAUUUAAAAGCAACCUGCCUAACAUAACCAGGAGAGGCAGGGUCGGAAUCAGCUCUUUAAAUGUCCUUCCAGUCCUUAUAUACACUGAGUAGCUAUGGAUUAGAUUUAAUAACUGAGAAGAAAUCUGUCAUAUAAGACAGUUCAGUGCAGGAAAAAGGCUAAAAGGAAUUUGAUGCAGGGCCUGCUCCAUCUCUCAUGUCUAGUAUACAGUGCUGGCAAAGGAUAUGUGACUAUCAAGGCCUUCUCUGGCAUUCAAAUGCUGGGCCACCCCUCAUUCCAGGUUGCUGCAUAUUUAAUGACUGUUUCUCACAUCUUUGGUACAGAGGUCACCAAUUCAGAUGCCUUCAGGGACCACUGGAUAUCCAAAUGAGUGAAAGAGGGCAGAUACAAUGUCAUAGGGACUGAAGAUGCUGGACGGUAGUGAGCUGGGAGGUUUAAAGGGCUCAGUGAUUUCUUGGUUCAGCUGAUUGUUGCCAGGUGAACAUAAGGUGGCCCAAUGUUGCCAGAUCUUCUGUUUUUUUUUAAAGCUGAGAAACAAAGAUUUUUAUGUAAAUCUCCUAAUAUUUAUUCUGUAACACUUAAGUUAAAAAUUUUAAUAAGCAUUUUCUGGACACUAAAAAAGUUUUAGGCCAAAGUUAGCCCACAGGUUUCUAGUUUUCCAAAUCUGCUGUAGUGACUGCCAAUGCAGAAGGGCAUUCUGUCUUAUACCUGUAUUAGCAGUUUUGCAGGUUAUUUCUUAAACUCAUCUAUACAAAAAGUUAAUUCUUAUUAAUGUCUUAAUACAAGGCAAUGGCUUCUGUUACAAAAAGAGAACAUAGAACCUUAUAGAGUUAUAGCACAGAAGCUCUCUCAAUGUAGAAUUUCCAGAGAGAAAAUCUUUCCCUUUUAAAUUCUCUUCCCCAGUGCUGCUUGCUCCCUUGUGCAAUGGUUGUGUUUGACCCAAUCAUUACACUGCUCUCCCUUCAAGACUUUGCCCAGCCAUGUACUAAAAUCUAAAAUGUACUAAAUUUCCUUGCCUUGGGCACAAUUGAAGUGGAAGCUUGAUAGUUUUAAAAGUACUUCAGCAGAUAUUCAUAGAGAAUAAAAAAGAGUCUGGUUAUUUAAAAAAAAAAAUUGUGAUUUGGAAAAUUGUAGCCCUAGCUGAUUUCAUUGUAUUCUCAUUCAGCUGUUUAUUCAAGUAUCAUAUUUAUCAUCUUUGAUCUUUGCAUCUGUUAUGGCCUCCAAUAUUGGGAACGUUUGCUUUUGCCUUGGGUUUUGGAAAAUUAAAAACCAAUAUGACCCUUAUAGGUUAGAAUAUUUACAGAAUUAGAAACAAGCAGUAUAGUCUAAUAGAGGAUGUAAGAGGUGAAGAUAAGACCUACUAGGUGAGAAGCACUAUGCAGGGACUAAUUCAGUGAUGGAGGAGUUAUGGAUUGUGAGAACAUAUUCAGCUCAGGGUGUUGGGAAAAGCUCCAUGGAAGAGUUAGCACUGGAAUGUCAAAGUUUUCUAUCUGCGAUAAUGGGAGUAUUAAAAUAUUCUAAGUUUAAGGAUCUUAUGAGCUAUCAUACGGUGUUUUGGGGGAAAGACAGUAAUCUGUUUUCACAGGAAUAUGUGGUGCUCGAAGGUGAUUGUGACAGAUGGAGCCAAUAAAGAUGGAUUGGGGACAGAUUGUGAGGAGAGCUUUUAGUAUUGGGUUAAGGAAUAUGGACUUCGAUCUGUGAGCAAUGGGGAACUGUUGGAGGCUUCCGAACAGGAAGUAGCAUGAUCUAAUCUAUAUGUUAGGACUGUUCAGGUGACAAAAGUAUAAGUAAUGGAUUGGAAUGGAUUCACUGUUGUAGGCAGUUAUUGGGAAGCCUGAAGGCACUUUGAUUUGGGAAAGUAAAGGGAACAAAAGAGAUUACUAUGGGGAAAGUAAGCGGGGAGACCAAUGAUCAGAGGAGGCUCUGUAUCAUUUGGGAAUUUGAAAUAAGAAAAAAGACCCGUG
RNAcentral lists this long non-coding RNA (4331 nucleotides) under Homo sapiens (human). Its description in RNAcentral is "HSALNT0328396". The record is from RNAcentral. Lineage: Eukaryota; Metazoa; Chordata; Mammalia; Primates; Hominidae.